This 411-nucleotide RNase P RNA is filed under the name Rhodococcus sacchari. RNAcentral's name for it is "Rhodococcus sp. Z13 RNase P RNA component class A". It matches the Rfam family "Bacterial RNase P class A". Rfam says of the family: Ribonuclease P (RNase P) is a ubiquitous endoribonuclease, found in archaea, bacteria and eukarya as well as chloroplasts and mitochondria. Its best characterised activity is the generation of mature 5'-ends of tRNAs by cleaving the 5'-leader elements of precursor-tRNAs. Cellular RNase Ps are ribonucleoproteins. Lineage: Bacteria; Bacillati; Actinomycetota; Actinomycetes; Mycobacteriales; Nocardiaceae. The record is from RNAcentral.
CGAGUCGGCCGGGCGGUCGCGGCACGGGGAACCGGCACCACACGGUGUCAGGCCCCGGGUCGAGGAAAGUCCGGACUCCACAGAGCAGGGCGGUUGCUAACGGCAACCCGAGGUGACUCGCGGGACAGUGCCACAGAAAACAGACCGCCUGCCCUUCGGGGCAGGUAAGGGUGAAACGGUGCGGUAAGAGCGCACCAGCACCCCGGGUGACCGGGGUGGCUCGGUAAACCCCGCCCGGAGCAAGGUCGAAGGGCGCACCGCUUGCGGUGCGUCUGCGCAGGUGUUCGAGGGCUGCUCGCCCGAGCCUGCGGGUGGACCGCUCGAGGUACCCGGCGACGGUGUGCCCAGAUGGAUGGCCGCCACCCCGCCCUCGGCGGGGGACAGGAUCCGGCUUACAGGCCGGCUCGUUCG